Small nuclear RNA from Ictidomys tridecemlineatus (thirteen-lined ground squirrel), 61 nucleotides. The record is from Ensembl. NCBI's taxonomy places the organism in Eukaryota, Metazoa, Chordata, Mammalia, Rodentia, Sciuridae.
GUGCUUGCUUUGGUAGCACAUAUACUAAAAUUGGAAUAAUACAGAGAAGAUUAGCAUGGCC